This 465-nucleotide ribosomal RNA is filed under the name Vreelandella stevensii. Its description in RNAcentral is "partial 16S ribosomal RNA". It matches the Rfam family "Bacterial small subunit ribosomal RNA", at positions 338 to 795 of the family's 1533-position model. Lineage: Bacteria; Pseudomonadati; Pseudomonadota; Gammaproteobacteria; Oceanospirillales; Halomonadaceae. The record is from RNAcentral.
CCUACGGGUGGCUGCAGUGGGGAAUAUUGGACAAUGGGGGCAACCCUGAUCCAGCCAUGCCGCGUGUGUGAAGAAGGCCCUCGGGUUGUAAAGCACUUUCAGUGAGGAAGAACGCCUGGUGGUUAAUACCCAUCAGGAAAGACAUCACUCACAGAAGAAGCACCGGCUAACUCCGUGCCAGCAGCCGCGGUAAUACGGAGGGUGCGAGCGUUAAUCGGAAUUACUGGGCGUAAAGCGCGCGUAGGUGGCUUGAUAAGCCGGUUGUGAAAGCCCCGGGCUCAACCUGGGAACGGCAUCCGGAACUGUCAAGCUAGAGUGCAGGAGAGGAAGGUAGAAUUCCCGGUGUAGCGGUGAAAUGCGUAGAGAUCGGGAGGAAUACCAGUGGCGAAGGCGGCCUUCUGGACUGACACUGACGCUGAGGUGCGAAAGCGUGGGUAGCAAACAGGAUUAGAUACCCUUGUAGUC